RNAcentral lists this long non-coding RNA (5136 nucleotides) under Hordeum vulgare. RNAcentral's name for it is "long non-coding RNA (HVUL_LNC015268)". The record is from RNAcentral. Lineage: Eukaryota; Viridiplantae; Streptophyta; Magnoliopsida; Poales; Poaceae.
ACCGCCGCAUGAGACAUCUAAAUGAUUGUUCAAGGACAGAUUAGUCAACCACCUUUUGCAUUUUUUUUAACAGGGCUUCAGAAAGAAGCUAGGGAAACAGACUAUUGUUCUCUCAACUAAAUAUAUAAAUAAAUACCCCAUCAACAGUUUUCUUUUUCUCCUCAACUUGUCGGCCUGUUCUCCGCAAGACAGUCUGCAUAGUUCUGAGAUUAGACAUUUUGGCCGCUCAUGCAUUUUCAAUCAUUCUCCAAAAGAGGGUAUAGUUUUCCAACAAGAGGCUCCAACGCAGAUGUGCCCCUUUUGAACACAAAGGAGAAGCAGCAGCUCAGCAAACCCUUCCAGAAAGGAACAUUGUACUCCCUCCGUUCCUAAAUAUAAGUCUUUUGUAAGAUCUCACUAGAGAUUACAUAUGGAAAAAAAUAAAUUAAUAUACACUCUAAACUAUGUAUAUAUACAUUCAUAUGUAGUCCAUAGUGCAAUUUUUAAAAAGACUUAUAUUUAAGAACAAAGGAAGUAGUAAAAUACUGCUUCCUUGCAGUACAAAUCAGGAAAAGAUUCAAGACCCUGACAGAAGAAAGGAACAAUACAAAUAACAGUAGAAGUGAGAUAACAAUUCGUCAUUUCAUAAAAUAGCCCGGAGAACACAUUAUUUUAUUCGGGGAGCCUCGAACAAAAUUCCACUGGCUUUUGGACCAACAGUCAGCUAUGCUGAGUUGCCAGAUAUUGUACAUUAAGGCUUAGGUGGAGCACCAAGGAACAAUACGGUUGUGCAAGAUUAGAUUGCAAUCUUGACCACUAACUUGCGGCACCUACAGUAAUCAAAAAAAUAUGCUAGUACAUGGCAAAGGCCUGGCCAUCCAUCAACCUUAAAGGUGCAAGCUGCAACUUAUGCAAUAAAUAAAUGAACUGGCAGACUACUAAAGUAUCUCCCUCCCAGUAGGCUUCAUCUAUCUAAACAGAUAUAGAGAAUGUAAAUUAUCAUAAAUUACACUAUCUACUUCAAAUGGUCCCAGGAAAAUAGAAGACCUAUAUAUGGCCACGAACUCAUUCAAGCUACAGAAUCUAUCCUUUCGUUGAGCCCCACGGGCAAAGGGGCUGGAUACACUGAACUCCCUGAAAAAGCUCUAGGCUUUACACCUUCGAUUUGUUCUUUUCAAACCACUAAGCACAUAAGUUAUCACACCUUGCAUACUACAAGUGACCAAAGCAGAAACCCUUAGAUGCUAACUAGAAACCGGUUAGAACUUUGAUAAGUUCCAUAGGUUAUUCCCUUAUCCCCCCUUAACUUUUUCUUAAUUAGUUAAACUUUCCAGUCGUCAUAAAAUUAACAAUCAUUCUUGCACCUUUUAUAUAUUUAUUUUCCUUGCCUGGUCUUAACGUGUUCACCUCCGGUAUAAUUUACAGAAAAAAGUUAAAAGUUUAAACGGGGAUUAUUUGGUGGACCAAUGCAAGGAAGAUCAUGCCAAAGAUGCUCUGCAUCAAGCUGAUUGUGACAUUAAAAUUUGUGGGGUCAAUAGUGAGGAAGGGGGCAAAAGAAAAGGACGGAAAGAACAGCACUAACUGCAUCUGGAAGGCUGGAGUGCUCGUAACCACCAUAUCAUCAUGGAUUUUGUUACAAGGCAUCUUGUGAUUAUGUGACCUACGAGAGUGCACACUAAAAGUGGAAUCAACUAAUGUGACCUGGGUCUAACACAUGCUGAACUCCUUUGCUCGGUCUAAAGUAUGUUUCUUCAGUAAACUAACAGAUUUUCAUGUCAGCUACAAGACUAAAUAAACACAGAAAAUAAAUAUAAGGCAUAAGAAAUGGCAUUAUCAAACUAAUACUUUGAAUUAGACAUGUAUAUGUCAGGUUACUCGAAGUCAACAAAACUUUGGACACUGAUACAGGGUAGAAUAAUCUGAAUAAACCAGCAUCUUGUGAAAAAGUACUUUUCAAGAUUAUAUGGAUGACAAGAGAAGAAUGAUGCGUUCUUGCAUCACAAUCCUGCAACCCCCAUUCAUUAGUGGCCUCUGCGCAUGGAAGAUUCCUCACAUUUUCUAGCUUUCAUACCUAUAAGAAGUGGGCACCUAAGUUGAUCAUUAGAUCUAUAAUAUAGCAUAUAUUUAAAUUAACACUUGCCAUUAAGAAAAUGGAAAAACUGAGGCAUCACAGAAAGGGCCCAUCAAGUAAAAGGCAAUAAGAGUUCCAGGUCUUAGCACAGAGGCUAACAAAGGAAAAGUGAUAUGUGACAUUCCUAUGCAUUUUGAGAUAGAUCAAACUGAACUACUAUGGAACAAAUAAAUUAAUUAAAGAAGCAGGUAAUGUUAGUAAUAGAGAAAUCUCUUUCUAAUCAUGCCACUUCUUAAUCACCAAACUUUAUCCCUUUGUUUUGUAUUACUUAGUCUGACUCCUGAUAUAGUAAAGAGAUAGCUACAAAUCUAGCUUUAGCAGAUGACACAAAUCAUACUUUGCAUUGUCCCCAGCCAUCUACAGGCCUUCUCAUUAGUCAAUGAUGUACAGCCUUAAAAUCCUUCAAUAUGUUCAGUUUCAGCACAAUCCAAACUCAGUCACAAACGCAAGAGUUGUGUUUGUCUAAUAUUCUGAGAAAGUUCACAGGGAAAAGCAAAGAUAUUAGAGCAAUAAACUUUUCAGGGUAGAGGUCCGAUUAGAUUUGUUCAAUAGAAACAACAAUGUGCUAAUAAAUACUCUCUCCGUGUCUUUGAUUUAGUACACGGAGGGAGUACAUAUUUCAGUGCAAGACAAAAUGAAUCUAUUUUUGAGUCUUGCCGAUGGUACAAAGCACUGCAACUUGAUGGUGUGAGCUUUCAUGUGAACAUCUGAUGAAAUGAAAUGUAUAUGCAGAUGUAGGAUAACAGUAAUCAUUAAACAGACAAAUGUUGAUGGAUAUUCAUUUUUACGCAUAUUAAUAUAUCUGGGCAGGGGAUUUUAUUAUGAUGAGAUUCAAUCUUCUAUGUACUCGAUAUAUUGAAAUUAUGAUAUAUAUGCAUUCAGUAAUCGAGAAUAUACUGGAAAAAAAGCGCCUUAGCAAUAAGAUAAUGAUCAUCUGCAUUCUCAUUUGAUUUAGUUAUAUUGUUAUGGUCAGAAACAAACGACAAACUAAUAUCUCCUCAUAGCUCACAAUUAGUCGUACUAGCUGAAUAUCCACGCAUUCUACGGAACUAAUAUAAAUCUAAUCAUGUGGCACAUGAUUCACCAUACAAAUCCAUGUCCAAAAAAACAACAUUGUACGGCAACUUAGAAAUGGCCAAAUGAGAAAUCAAUCAUAAGGCAUAUUUUGCAAAUCCUAGAACAAGAUGGUGAAAAUCAUGGAGAUGACACCACCAGUCACGGAGUUACUUUUGGUGAAGGGGGAGGUGGAUGGCAGACGGAUCAUCACAGCACGUUAAAAGAUUGCAAUCAGAGGUCAGGCAGUGUUUAAUUGCAUUAUGAACUGCCAAAUCUUUCACUAUACAGCAUGUAUAAGGGACAAAACCAUUAAACCAAUUAUCUGCUAAAGUGAGCCCCAUUUUCAGGCUCAUGUUCAGAUCUAUUGUUCUGUCAAAAGAAUAAUAGCAGAAAUUUCGCUUAAGUAUCCAUUUCCAGUUAGUGAUGCAUUGAGGCUGUAGAUGCCAUUAUUCUCUAAACUGGUACAAUGUAGAGGUGUCAACAAUUAUAUAGAAUUACCGCACCAUGCACAUCCAAUAAAUCAGUAGAUACCAUGAUGCACUAGCCAAAUUAAUGACUGCCAGGAACCUAUUAAUAAAUUAGUCGCUGGACUGCUUUGACUACAAUGGACAGGAAUUGGGAUCAAUUUUCACUUACACAAACAUUUACAACUGUUUUCUUCUUAUCUUCUACGGGGCAAAAGAGUCACCAAACUUAAAAAUCAUGAAUCCAAUCAGCACUAAGUUGACCAUAGAAAAAGAAGAGACAAUCCAAUACACUGGCACUGGAUUAUUCCAUUUUCUCCCUGCUUGAACUCAACAAUACAUACGGACAGAAAAUGAUUCAAGCAUGCAAACCCUACUUGCAGUAGCUUAUCAUUCAGUAGGGGUAAAAGAGAAGCAGGGAAGAAGAAAGAACUGCAGGAAAUCAACGUAUGAUGCGUUGGUGGACUAUUCCAUAUUUGAUAGACAUCAUCAGUAUAACUAGAGCCUGUGACCCAGUGCCCACUAGGAUCAAAAGCAGUCAAGAAAUGAUGUGCAGCAAGUAUUGGUACUGAGGCAGGAAAAGGAUGUAGUGUUCGCUGAGCGGCCAACCAGCCAUUACGUUCAUUUUAAGUUGAUCAUCUCCUAGUUUACCUUUCAGUUUCCCAACCUAGGAAUGCACAGACACAAAAAUCCUAAAAGACAGUGGCUCAUUUUAGAUAAAAGUAAAACAUAGUAUCACAGUAUGGCAAAUACAGGAACUGAAGCCUGUGUCUAUGAAUUACCUAAACGAGAACUUUCUCAUUUGCUUAUAUACUUCAUUGUUUUUUUUUUAGACCAGGUUCUACAAGUUCACUACAUCCAGGAGCCACAGUUAGGAAACGAAGCAUAAACUGAACUUUCCAACUCACAUUUCAUACAAAACAACCAUGUCGUCAGAUACCAAUUCUUGCUCCCCAAACAUUGAUAAAUCUCAACACAGGGGGCAAUUAGCAGUACAUUCUUAUUGCAACGAUUCUAUGAAUCUUGUGAACAAGCAGCAGAUAAGCGAAAUCUAACUUGUCUCAGGCUUCGAGCAGAAAGGCACAUCUCUACACGCCCUUUCACCUCGGCGCCGCGAAAGUCACACGUCCUCCCCGCCACGGCUGCCGCCUCCGCCUGCGCCGUCCAGACCCUUGAAGCCCUCGGAGACCGCCCGCGCGCGGUUCUGCGCCUGCCUCUCCACCGCCACGAAGUACAGGCCUGCAAAGCGGCAACCAUCGGAUCAGAUCGCGACAAGGAGCAACCAGGGGCACGCGGAGACUGGGAUGUAAGGGAGCGCCAAGGUUUAGGGUUUUGGUUCAGGUGCUUACUCACGGCGCUGCCGAUGGCGCAUAUCCAGAGGACGCGCUGCGACCACCUGUCGCCAACCACACCUCGACCGCCCAUCCCCAUGCCGCCGCCGCCGGCGGUGAGGCAGAUGAUGUGCUGCGCGCCUGCUCGGUUAGUUCUCGCCUUCUCGGUGCUCCG